Molecule: unclassified non-coding RNA, 1903 nt
Filed under: Hevea brasiliensis (rubber tree)
Lineage: Eukaryota; Viridiplantae; Streptophyta; Magnoliopsida; Malpighiales; Euphorbiaceae
Source: RNAcentral
GAAAAUUCUGAUAUAGAUCAACAGGUCAAAAGUUAAAAUGGCAAACAGUUCAAUACAGGGAGAAGCGUCAUCACUCAAGCAAGCUAGUGGCGUUCUUAACUGACUGUUCCUUGGGAGGUUCAACAAAAUCCCGAAAGGAAAACAGGGAGGCGUAUAUCUAGCUUUAAAAACAACAAGUACAUUAUUGUUACAUUAAGCAACGACAUCAAAUUGAUAAUGCCUAAAGUUACUACAAGCUUAGCUAAGGUUUACCAGCAAUUUGAAGUAUAUGAUUCUGGUAAUAUGACGAGCGUAUCUAAAAUCACUUGUAGAUAAGGGCGUCACGACCAGGCCCAAUACCAAUGUAGUGGAUAGGUACCCCAACAAGCUCCUCUAUCCUUUCUACAUACUCGCGUGCAGCCUUGGGCAAGUCAGAAUACUUCCUGAUUGAAGAAAUAUCAGUUUUCCAUCCAGGCAAAACUUCAUACUCCACCUUUAUUUGUUCGAGAAGACUUAGAUCAGAAGGAAAAGAAUUUAAUGUUGAACCAUCAGGAUGCCUGUAAGUAACACCCAACUGAAUUUCUGAUAGAUCUGACAGCACAUCUAGUUUUGUCAGGUUUAGAGAAGCAAAUCCAUUUAUUUGACAGCAGUAUCUUAGUGCAACUAUGUCUAGCCAACCACAGCGACGCGGGCGUCCAGUAGUUGUACCAAACUCCUGCCCAGCAGAACGAAGAAGAUCGCCAUAUUCGCCCAUGAGUUCUGUUGGGAAAGGACCAGAACCAACUCUUGUCGUAUAUGCCUUAACCACACCAACAAGAUCACCGACAACUCUGGGAGCAAUUCCAAGACCUGUGCAGAUUCCACCAGCUGAUGGACUGGAUGAAGUGACAAAAGGGUAUGUCCCAAAAUCGAUAUCCAGCAUAGUUGCCUGACCACCUUCUACCAAAAUCUUCUUUUUCUGAGAUAUAGCAUCAUUCAUGAAGUGCACAGUAUCUGUAACGAAAGGUUCCAACCUCUCAGCAAAUUUCUUAUAGCGUUCCACUUCCUCCCUGAGCAUGUCAGGGCAAUACUUAAAACCUUGGAAUCUUGAAGCGGCAUCUGAUAAUAAAAGAUCAAGCUUUUGGGGGAAUGUGUCCAUAUGCCUUAAAUCACUAACCCUUAUGCCAUUUCGAAUAACCUUGCUUGAAUAGGAAGGCCCAAUGCCUCUCUUGGUGGUACCAAUAAAGGACUUAUCUAGCUCAGCUUCUCUAAGCCCAUCUACUUCUUGGUGAAAAUCAAAUAACAAGUGAGCACGAUCUGAUACCAAAAUCCUUCCUUGACAAGAAACUCCAUUAGAUUCAAGAUUGUCAAUUUCAUUAAAAAGUCCUGGUAGAUGUACCACGACUCCGUUACCAAUAACACAUAAAGUUUCCUCAUUGAGAAUCCCUGAAGGGACAAGGUGCAGAGCAAACUUCUUCCCCUCAGAAUUGUAAAUAGUGUGCCCAGCAUUGGCUCCUCCCUGACAACGAGCAACAAUAUCAAAAUGCUUAGCCAAUAUAUCAACGAGCUUUCCCUUUCCUUCAUCACCCCAUUGACAACCCAGCACGCCUGAUACCUGACUCAGUGACUCAAUUCGACUCAGUCCUGACUCGUUGACCCCUUGACGAUCCACUACUGAGGCAAGCGGAUUUUUCGAACAAACUAUCAUUGAAGAAGCCUUCUUCUUCCUUUGCUGGAACUGAAUGAGCCUACAACUAUUGGUCCCAUUGUAACCGAUGGUCCCACUCCGGUGACUCACCUUCGCCGUCGCUGUAGCUUUCGCCGUUGUGAUUGAGCUGGCAUCAAGCCUCAUGGUUGACAUGUUCAUGGUGGCGGCACCGGGCGGCGUGCGGUUGCGCUGUGCACAGAGAGGAGGAAAAAUGUGUUUUCAGGGUUUAGGUUCAGG